GGUGGUUCUCGGGUGAUGCACCCCAGAAUCAGGCUCCUGCCUCUCUGGUUCCGGGUCCGUCACCCAAGAACCGCA
Myotis lucifugus (little brown bat) is the source of this 75-nucleotide non-coding RNA. The record is from Rfam. Lineage: Eukaryota; Metazoa; Chordata; Mammalia; Chiroptera; Vespertilionidae.